Molecule: transfer RNA, 69 nt
Filed under: Marmota monax (woodchuck)
Lineage: Eukaryota; Metazoa; Chordata; Mammalia; Rodentia; Sciuridae
Rfam family: tRNA
About the family: Transfer RNA (tRNA) molecules are approximately 80 nucleotides in length.
Source: Rfam by way of RNAcentral
GGAGUUGUAGCUCAGCGGUAGAGCACUCGUCUAGCACCUGUGAGGCCCUGGGUUCGAUCCUCAGCACCA